AACCCAUGGUGAGGGCACCUUCUUAAUAAAUCCUUGUAUCUCUCCCAUGCAUCAUAAACUGUUUCUAAAUCCAUCUACACAAAAGAAGAAAUAUCAUUCCUCAACUU
Molecule: small nucleolar RNA, 107 nt
Filed under: Gossypium hirsutum (cotton)
Lineage: Eukaryota; Viridiplantae; Streptophyta; Magnoliopsida; Malvales; Malvaceae
Description: Plant small nucleolar RNA R71
Rfam family: Plant small nucleolar RNA R71
About the family: R71 is a member of the C/D box family of snoRNAs containing the C (UGAUGA) and D (CUGA) box motifs. Multiple nearly identical copies of this snoRNA have been identified in Arabidopsis, and it is thought to function as a 2'-O-ribose methylation guide for 18S ribosomal RNA.
Source: Rfam by way of RNAcentral